AUCAAGUGCUGAAGGGUGUUCAAUUGCCGCCAGAUCUCGUAGGCUCCGCUGCAGGUUUCGCCGGGUAAUGGGCGGAUUAUCUGAAUUUAGGUGGAAACAAUUCAUGAAGUGAACUGGGACACGCACCUCUCAAACAGCUUGCGAAGCUAUGUGGGGGAGUUCAAGAACUUUUGAGGGAUUCUUCCAAGAACACUCCAGUCGGACAAAUGCCUCACUCGUAUCUGUAUCGGAAUUGACAUUAACUCCCCGAUAGGCUUCGUACGUAGCAACCGCCCGUGUUGAAAACUGUCACAAGCGACGAAAUUAUGUUGACGUCAAUUCAGUUAAAAUAUGAUAUAUUCCCACCUCUUCAACAUUUGUUAAGAAGGCCAUUUCUGAUUUCAAAUGAUCCAACUGGAUGGUAGGAUCUGUUGAUGUGAUGGGACCAGCUACUGUUAUCUUGUAACGAAUUAAUUCAUUAUUUCUUCCCUUCUCAAUGCCCAAGACUGAUGUUCUUUCCCCAUCUUCGGCAUCUGCCAAGCAGAAGACUGGUAAAGCAGAUUGGAGAGAGGGAUCAAAAAUGAAGUUAGAUAGUAUCCCUCUAUGAAAAACAAAUAAAUAACAAUAAAAAUAAAAA
Daphnia magna is the source of this 616-nucleotide long non-coding RNA. RefSeq lists it as uncharacterized. The transcript is spliced from 2 exons. The record is from RefSeq and is a predicted model, not a curated record. NCBI's taxonomy places the organism in Eukaryota, Metazoa, Arthropoda, Branchiopoda, Diplostraca, Daphniidae.